UUGAGGGCCUGGAAUUAUAAAUAUAU
RNAcentral lists this non-coding RNA (26 nucleotides) under Cricetulus griseus (Chinese hamster). Lineage: Eukaryota; Metazoa; Chordata; Mammalia; Rodentia; Cricetidae. The record is from RNAcentral.